UUUGAGAUAUUACUAAUGGUAUUUGUGACCAGCACAAACAUAUCAAUGAAAUUAAAAUAACUUCCUCUUUCAUAACGGGUAGUCGGUGUGCAGUUUUUUUUUUUAUUCCAACUACUGUUGUAUUUCAACACUUAUAAACAACACAAUUUAAAAUAAAGAGACCCGCUCUUAAAGUACUAUAUGCAUAUCGAAAUUCUUGUUCCCUUUUACAUGAUGGUGUUGCAACUUUUCACAUAAAAUUCGAAAAAUUAAAGCUACGAAAUAACUUCGUCCCAGUCUUGCACCCGUAAACAAAUAUAAUUCAUGCUACAUCCGGUUUGAAUU
RNAcentral lists this long non-coding RNA (324 nucleotides) under Mytilus galloprovincialis (Mediterranean mussel). Lineage: Eukaryota; Metazoa; Mollusca; Bivalvia; Mytilida; Mytilidae. The record is from RNAcentral.